RNAcentral lists this ribosomal RNA (740 nucleotides) under uncultured bacterium. RNAcentral's name for it is "bacterial SSU rRNA". It matches the Rfam family "Bacterial small subunit ribosomal RNA", at positions 8 to 796 of the family's 1533-position model. The record is from RNAcentral.
AGAGUUUGAUCCUGGCUCAGAACGAACGCUGGCGGCAGGCUUAACACAUGCAAGUCGAGCGGGUAGCAAUACCAGCGGCAGACGGGUGAGUAACACGUGGGAACCUUCCUAGAGGUACGGAACAACGCAGGGAAACUUGCGCUAAUACCGUAUGUGCUCUUGCGAGGAAAGAUUUAUCGCCUUUAGACGGGCCCGCGUCGGAUUAGCUAGUUGGUGGGGUAAUGGCCUACCAAGGCAACGAUCCGUAGCUGAUCUGAGAGGAUGAUCAGCCACACUGGAACUGAGACACGGUCCAGACUCCUACGGGAGGCAGCAGUGGGGAAUCUUGGACAAUGGGCGCAAGCCUGAUCCAGCCAUGCCGCGUGAGUGAAGAAGGCCUUCGGGUUGUAAAGCUCUUUUGUCAGGGACGAUAAUGACGGUACCUGAAGAAUAAGCCCCGGCAAACUUCGUGCCAGCAGCCGCGGUAAUACGAAGGGGGCUAGCGUUGUUCGGAUUUACUGGGCGUAAAGCGCACGUAGGUGGAUAGUUAAGUGAGGGGUGAAAUCCCGAGGCUCAACCUCGGAACUGCCUUUCAUACUGGCUAUCUUGAGUUCGGAAGAGGUGAGUGGAAUUCCUAGUGUAGAGGUGAAACUCGUAGAUAUUAGGAAGAACACCGGUGGCGAAGGCGGCUCACUGGUCCGAUACUGACACUGAGGUGCGAAAGCGUGAGGAGCAAACAGGAUUAGAUACCCUGGUAGUCC